Molecule: ribosomal RNA, 393 nt
Filed under: Escherichia coli
Lineage: Bacteria; Pseudomonadati; Pseudomonadota; Gammaproteobacteria; Enterobacterales; Enterobacteriaceae
Also listed under: 3 other names
Description: bacterial SSU rRNA
Rfam family: Bacterial small subunit ribosomal RNA
Source: RNAcentral
GCCGGGAACUCAAAGGAGACUGCCAGUGAUAAACUGGAGGAAGGUGGGGAUGACGUCAAGUCAUCAUGGCCCUUACGACCAGGGCUACACACGUGCUACAAUGGCGCAUACAAAGAGAAGCGACCUCGCGAGAGCAAGCGGACCUCAUAAAGUGCGUCGUAGUCCGGAUUGGAGUCUGCAACUCGACUCCAUGAAGUCGGAAUCGCUAGUAAUCGUGGAUCAGAAUGCCACGGUGAAUACGUUCCCGGGCCUUGUACACACCGCCCGUCACACCAUGGGAGUGGGUUGCAAAAGAAGUAGGUAGCUUAACCUUCGGGAGGGCGCUUACCACUUUGUGAUUCAUGACUGGGGUGAAGUCGUAACAAGGUAACCGUAGGGGAACCUGCGGUUGGA